RNAcentral lists this ribosomal RNA (253 nucleotides) under uncultured bacterium. RNAcentral's name for it is "partial 16S ribosomal RNA". It matches the Rfam family "Bacterial small subunit ribosomal RNA", at positions 524 to 776 of the family's 1533-position model. The record is from RNAcentral.
UACGUAGGGGGCAAGCGUUGUCCGGAUUUAUUGGGCGUAAAGAGCGUGUAGGCGGCUGGGUAGGUCCGUUGUGAAAACUCGAGGCUCAACCUCGAGACGCCGAUGGAAACCCCCCGGCUAGAGUCCGGAAGAGGAGAGUGGAAUUCCUGGUGUAGCGGUGAAAUGCGCAGAUAUCAGGAAGAACACCCGUGGCUAAGGCGGCUCUCUAGUACGGUACUGACGCUGAGACGCGAAAGCGGGGGGAGCGAACAGG